This 4069-nucleotide long non-coding RNA is filed under the name Solanum tuberosum (potato). Its description in RNAcentral is "long non-coding RNA (STUB_LNC005283)". Lineage: Eukaryota; Viridiplantae; Streptophyta; Magnoliopsida; Solanales; Solanaceae. The record is from RNAcentral.
ACUAUACAACAGGUACAGGAGAGAUGACUUUGUUGCACCCUUUUUCACGCGCCCAAAUUCAGCUUCCUCCGUGUACUGGCUUGAGAGAUCAGGAAUCAAAACGUCCCUAUGUGACUAUCAACCAUGUUGUGUUAUCUGCCAGUCCAUCCGUAACGUCUGACUAUGUUCUGAUAAUUUGUUAUGGUCGCCCUACAUACCGUUUUGCUUUUUGGCGACCUGGAGACCUCUGUUGGACCAAAAUUCCUAUUGGUGAAGAAACUUAUGCAUUUUACCAUAUGAUUCAAUACUUCAAUGGACAACUUUAUUUCAACAAUGGGCGGUGUCUAGUUUCAGCUAUUGACAUCCCAGAGCCUAGCAAUCCUCAGCCUAUUGUAAAACAACGAGAGGUUGUUCAGAUGAUGGGUUUAUCGACUCAUGCAAACCAGCGCUUUGUCUUUCUCAUUGAAGUGGCAGGUGAACUAUUAUUUGUUCAACAAUUGGUGAUUACGAAAGAUGUAGCAAAUGUGUGGAAGACAUAUAAAUUUCGACUAUUCAAAAUAGAUGCAAUCAAAGGAGAAGCAAAAGAGAUCAAAAGCUUGGGAGACAAAGCAAUUUUUGUGGGGUGUAAUGCAUCAAUUGCCAUCGACUCUUCCAAGUUAGUAGGAGUGAAACCUAAUCAUAUAUAUUUUACCUAUGAUUGGACAUGUGUGUUCUCCGAAGGAGAUGAUUCGAGAGAGAUAGGAGCUUACAAUGUCGAAGAUGAAACCAUUCAACCCUUGAAUCAAGUCAUUUCUGGUGUUCAUCUUGUAUCUCCGGCGAUUUGGGUUACCCCAUCAUUCUGAUAUCAAAAUGGGACUCCACUUACCUCCAUUACAUGUUGAAGUAAAACUCAUUUAAUUGUACUUUCUCUGAAUGGUUUUGGUCUGUGUGAUAUUCAGUAUGCUAUUACUCUUUAAGGUUGUCUAUAGCAGAGGCAUUGGAAACAAAACUUUUUGUGACAAAUGAACUCCACAUUGGCAUAGAUGUGUCUCUUGAUUUGUCAUCAAGAUUUGGAUAAAAUAGUACAACUGGUGCAUAAGGAUCUGGAAUUAGCUGAUCUAAGAGAAAAAGAUUGAAUGUUUUAGGUGAUUUGGUGUUGGAGAUGACAUUUUCUUUUGAAAUGACUUGAACUUCCAUCAUAUUUGGGUUGUCAUCACAACUAUGAAUUAAAUAUUGAACUUCACUAUUUAUCUUCUCUUUUGUACUAUGAGAUUUUGUGGUUCAAAUCUCAUUAGAGGCAAGAAAAGAAGAGCACUCGUUGAUUUCACAUUAUAAAAUAGAUUAGAUGUUUUCUCUUGUAUAGCAACCUUUCUAAAAAAAAAUUGCAUUAAACAUUGAAUAGUAUAGUCAGUGAGUUACCAAAUUAGUUGAAUAUUUUGCCUCUUAAAUUAUCACAAAUAAAAAAUCAACCAAUAAUAUUGACUCUUUUAAAUUGAACGAGUGCUAGUAGUAUGAGUAAUCUACUUAGUUAAUCUUCAAUUAGAAAAUACUAAUGAAAAAAAUCUUUAGUUAUUGACAUUUGUUACUCAAGCUUGAUAAAAUUUGAAUGGGACGUGUCUAAAUAUAGAAACAUUUUUUCAUAGGUUCAAUUGCUAAUUUGGAACAAGUCAUAAUUCGAAUAUCUAAAUAAAUUUACUUAAAAAAUUAAGCGGUUCUCAAUAUAUUAAGGCUUAAUACAUAAUUGGAUGAGCUCAAAGACUGACCUCUCUAAGUGAUUAUCAACAAUGUAUUUGGAUGAGCUCAGGGUCGGACCCACAUGGAGUCCGCCGGAUGCUUGAGCAUCCAUUAACCUCAUCUCGAAAUAUUUAUAUCAAUAUAGAAAUUAAGAGGUAUUUGUAUAAUAUAAAACAUAGAGCACCCAAUAAACAUAUGAUCUAAUUGGUCUAUUGGCUCUUGGAUGGGUUCCUAAGGCUCUUUUAGUGUUGUUGAGCAUGCGUUCGAAUUUCAUUGUUAAUAUCAACAUUUGGAAAGCUUAGGGCAUCUCCAACCCAAACAUCAAAUUUGGUGUCAGCACUAUUUUUGGUGUAAUCAACUCCAAUCCACUGCACCAAAUUUUACACAAAAAAAAAUAUUUUUCUCUCUUCAUUAUUAUAUUAUUAUUUCUUAUUUCAUAAAACAAAUUCUUUUUAAAACAUUUACCAUAUAUAAAAUUCUUAUUAUUUCCUUUUAUAAUCGUUUAGUAUAAAAGUGAUGUGUUUGUAGGAAAAGUGAAAUACGCGUUGUACUAUUCUCUCUUUUAACAAAAAGGUUUUAUCCCACUAAAAUAUGGUUUCUUCAUUAAAUUUUUUUCUUGGUGUUCCUUUCCAAGGUAGCGAGAGUAGUAACGAAGUAAUUGGCUUAUAGCUCUCUCUUAUUGUUAGUUUUUUUUAUUUUAUAACAAAACCAGAUUUUCCAAAUUCCAUAAUCCCCUUUACUUGCAGACCAAUCACGGAAAUUGGACAAGUGUGUUGGGUGAGUAUUACGAAUCUCAGCCUCUAAUUUACUGAUUUGUGUUUUAUACAUACUAGAUUAGUAGCAUUUUUAUUGAUAUGUAGAUGUCCUGUUUUUUGGAUUAUCUUCCUAUGCACACCACUUAUUUGAUAAAAGUCCCCCUUGAAAAAGAUGGGAAAACAGUGAAAUUUACCAUUUUCUACUAUAUAUAUACCUCAAGGUAGGGUUAAAGGUUUGCGUACAUCCUAUCCUCCCGAACCCCACUUGUGGGUAUGUUAUUGUUGUUGUUUACGAGUUACAUGGUGUAGAAACAAACAAGAAUUACCAAAUCUCCAACUAACUAAAAUCUUAUAACACAAUUAGACAAAUAUUGAGGAAAAAUAACUUGUCGUUUGUCCUUUAUAAUUUGAAUAGAGAGAAAAUUUAUACGUGCGAUAUAUAGAAUGUGUUAAAUUCAUAUUGAUCGAUAUAAAGUAAAGUAUAUGGUCGUAAGAAGCUUAUGAAUAAGUGGUGUAACAUGGAUAUACAUGUUCUAAUAUUUGCUAAAAGGGGCUGUCUUGAUUAGAGGAGAUUCUUCAAACAAAAGAAAAGGACUUGAAAUAUUUAUGCAAUGAAUUUUAGGGACAUCAAAUUGUGUGCUGCUAUAAAUGUAUAUAGAUGAUCCAAGGAGUAAGUGUAGAUUAUGUUUUAUUUAGGAGCAUUGUUGCAUUUGUACUCUGGCUAAUUUUUUGGGAAAAUGAUUUGAAAGAAAUCUUUGGAUGCCUCCUUACAACUCAUUAUGAGUCUUCUUUCUUGUGUCCUGUUCUCCUGUAGCAAUUCUGAGGAAGUGUUCAAAAUGAUUGAGUUUAUCUGUUUUUAUUAACUUUGUUGAUUAAACUUUUCUCUUGAUUAGAUGAGCUUUCUGUGCCCUAUGUAUGUAGGAAGCAUUCAUCCCUUUUUCUGGGAAAUAUGGCGAACUGGUCAGAACUUCCAUACGAACUACUUGCUAUGAUAGCAAAGCGUGUUACAGCGAUGGAGGAUUUCAUUAGAUUUGGUUUUGUUUGUAAAUCAUGGAGAAGUGCUGGUACCAAAGAGAAUUUUGAUGUGUUAGCGCCUCAAGUUCCUUUGCUUAUGCUGGCUGCUUAUGUGAACGAUGAUUAUCGGAAAUUCUACUCUCUUUCCAAGGAGAAAAUUUCUUGCAGAGUUUUCCUCCCAGAAGCUAGAGGGAGACUGUGUUUUCCAACACAGGGAUGGCUUUUCACGGUGAACUAUAGGACAAGUACAGGAGAGAUGACUUUGUUGCACCCUUUUUCACGCGCCCAAAUUCAGCUUCCUCCGUCUACUGGCUUGAGAGAUCAGAGAUCAAAACGUUUCUAUGUGACAAUCGACCAUGUUGUAUUAUCUGCUAGCCCAUCCCUAACAUCUGACUAUGUUCUGAUAAUUUGUUAUAGUCGCCCUACAUACCGUUUUGCUUUUUGGCGACCUGGAGACCUCUGUUGGACCAAAAUUCCUAUUCUUGAAGAGACCGGUGCAUUUUACCAUAUGCAAUACUUCAAUGGACAACUUUAUGUCAACCAUGGGCGGUGGGUCUCAGUUAUUGACAUCCCAGAGCCUAGCAAUCCUCAGCCUGUUGUAAAACCAC